AUUGAACGCUGGCGGCAUGCCUUACACAUGCAAGUCGAACGGUAACAGGUCUUUCGGGAUGCUGACGAGUGGCGAACGGGUGAGUAAUACAUCGGAACGUGCCUAGUAGUGGGGGAUAACUACUCGAAAGAGUGGCUAAUACCGCAUGAGAUCUAUGGAUGAAAGCAGGGGACCUUUGGGCCUUGUGCUACUAGAGCGGCCGAUGGCAGAUUAGGUAGUUGGUGGGAUAAAAGCUUACCAAGCCUACGAUCUGUAGCUGGCCUGAGAGGACGAUCAGCCACACUGGGACUGAGACACGGCCCAGACUCCUACGGGAGGCAGCAGUGGGGAAUUUUGGACAAUGGGCGCAAGCCUGAUCCAGCAAUGCCGCGUGCAGGAUGAAGGCCUUCGGGUUGUAAACUGCUUUUGUACGGAACGAAAAGUCUUGGGUUAAUACCCUGGGAUCAUGACGGUACCGUAAGAAUAAGCACCGGCUAACUACGUG
RNAcentral lists this ribosomal RNA (484 nucleotides) under uncultured bacterium. RNAcentral describes it as "partial 16S ribosomal RNA". It matches the Rfam family "Bacterial small subunit ribosomal RNA", at positions 30 to 507 of the family's 1533-position model. The record is from RNAcentral.